ACGGCGCUCCGGACUGCUGAAAUCCGACCCCAAAAAAUCUCCGAGAAGCGACGCUCUCGACUCUUUCAAAUCCGUUUUAGAGCAGUGACCCCAUAAACAACUCGCCUGUUCAAUCCUUCAACAAAUAUAUUUUUUUAUCAUCCUUGGCUGUGAGUUGCAUCACAUGGCGGUGAGAGGCUUUUUUUUAGAAGAGCACAUGCUUGGGGACAAAAGGCUGUGAAAACGAAGAAUCCCUGUGCCAUACUGAGCAAACUCCUGAGAGACCUAUUUAAAGCACUGAAAAUAACGUCCACGAAGGACCACCCGGGAGGUAAGAGCCUUGUUUGACUUUCACCAGGGGGCUUUUAGACCCCAUACUGUCCCCUCACAGACUUACAGAGCCGCCUCAAGGCACUCGUACCUCUCUAUGAAACAAUGCAACAAAUCAGGGGCAUAGAUCC
Danio rerio (zebrafish) is the source of this 440-nucleotide non-coding RNA. NCBI's taxonomy places the organism in Eukaryota, Metazoa, Chordata, Actinopteri, Cypriniformes, Danionidae. The record is from Ensembl.